RNAcentral lists this ribosomal RNA (1178 nucleotides) under Tomentellopsis echinospora. RNAcentral describes it as "SSU rRNA". It matches the Rfam family "Eukaryotic small subunit ribosomal RNA", at positions 82 to 1265 of the family's 1831-position model. The record is from RNAcentral. Lineage: Eukaryota; Fungi; Basidiomycota; Agaricomycetes; Thelephorales; Thelephoraceae.
GUGAACUGCGAAUGGCUCAUUAAAUCAGUUAUAGUUUAUUUGAUGGUACCUUGCUACAUGGAUAACUGUGGUAAUUCUAGAGCUAAUACAUGCAAUCAAGCCCCGACUUCCGGAAGGGGUGUAUUUAUUAGAUAAAAAACCAACGCGGUUCGCCGCUCCAUUGGUGAUUCAUAAUAACUUCUCGAAUCGCAUGGCCUUGUGCUGGCGAUGCUUCAUUCAAAUAUCUGCCCUAUCAACUUUCGAUGGUAGGAUAGUGGCCUACCAUGGUUUCAACGGGUAACGGGGAAUAAGGGUUCGAUUCCGGAGAGGGAGCCUGAGAAACGGCUACCACAUCCAAGGAAGGCAGCAGGCGCGCAAAUUACCCAAUCCCGACACGGGGAGGUAGUGACAAUAAAUAACAAUAUAGGGCUCUUUCGGGUCCUAUAAUUGGAAUGAGUACAAUUUAAAUCCCUUAACGAGGAACAAUUGGAGGGCAAGUCUGGUGCCAGCAGCCGCGGUAAUUCCAGCUCCAAUAGCGUAUAUUAAAGUUGUUGCAGUUAAAAAGCUCGUAGUUGAACUUCAGGCCUGGCCGGGCGGUCUGCCUAACGGUACGUACUGUCUGGCUGGGCCUUACCUCUUGGUGAGCCGGCAUGCCCUUUACUGGGUGUGUCGGGGAACCAGGACUUUUACCUUGAGAAAAUUAGAGUGUUCAAAGCAGGCCUAUGCCCGAAUACAUUAGCAUGGAAUAAUAAAAUAGGACGUGCGGUUCUAUUUUGUUGGUUUCUAGAGUCGCCGUAAUGAUUAAUAGGGAUAGUUGGGGGCAUUAGUAUUCAGUUGCUAGAGGUGAAAUUCUUGGAUUUACUGAAGACUAACUACUGCGAAAGCAUUUGCCAAGGAUGUUUUCAUUAAUCAAGAACGAAGGUUAGGGGAUCGAAAACGAUCAGAUACCGUUGUAGUCUUAACAGUAAACUAUGCCGACUAGGGAUCGGGCGAACUCAAUUUUAUGUGUCGCUCGGCACCUUACGAGAAAUCAAAGUCUUUGGGUUCUGGGGGGGAGUAUGGUCGCAAGGCUGAAACUUAAAGGAAUUGACGGAAGGGCACCACCAGGAGUGGAGCCUGCGGCUUAAUUUGACUCAACACGGGGAAACUCACCAGGUCCAGACAUGACUAGGAUUGACAGAUUGAUAGCUCUUUCAUGA